CUAACACAUGCAAGUCGAACGGUAGCACAGAGGAGCUUGCUCCUUGGGUGACGAGUGGCGGACGGGUGAGUAAUGUCUGGGAAACUGCCCGAUGGAGGGGGAUAACUACUGGAAACGGUAGCUAAUACCGCAUAAUGUCGCAAGACCAAAGAGGGGGACCUUCGGGCCUCUUGCCAUCGGAUGUGCCCAGAUGGGAUUAGCUUGUUGGUGAGGUAAUGGCUCACCAAGGCGACGAUCCCUAGCUGGUCUGAGAGGAUGACCAGCCACACUGGAACUGAGACACGGUCCAGACUCCUACGGGAGGCAGCAGUGGGGAAUAUUGCACAAUGGGCGCAAGCCUGAUGCAGCCAUGCCGCGUGUAUGAAGAAGGCCUUCGGGUUGUAAAGUACUUUCAGCGGCGGAGGAAGGCGACACGGUUAAUAACCGCGUUGAUUGACGUUACCCGCAGAAGAAGCACCGGCUAACUCCGUGCCAGCAGCCGCGGUAAUACGGAGGGUGCAAGCGUUAAUCGGAAUUACUGGGGCGUAAAGCGCACGCAGGCGGUCUGUCAAGUCGGGAUGUGAAAUCCCCGGGCUCAACCUGGGAACUGCAUUCGAAACUGGCAGGCUUGAGUCUUGUAAGGGGGGGUUA
This 630-nucleotide ribosomal RNA is filed under the name uncultured bacterium. RNAcentral's name for it is "bacterial SSU rRNA". It matches the Rfam family "Bacterial small subunit ribosomal RNA", at positions 48 to 664 of the family's 1533-position model. The record is from RNAcentral.